RNAcentral lists this long non-coding RNA (491 nucleotides) under Sorghum bicolor (sorghum). RNAcentral describes it as "long non-coding RNA (SBIC_LNC000405)". Lineage: Eukaryota; Viridiplantae; Streptophyta; Magnoliopsida; Poales; Poaceae. The record is from RNAcentral.
CAGGAUAUGCAUCAGAAGGAUCACGAGGUGCACUUUCGUUUGGUCUUGGUCGUCCAUAUGGUGGAUUGUUGGUAGGCCUUCCAUAUGGAUCAUUAGCAGGUCUUCCAUAUGGUGGAUCGUUGGCAGGCCUUCCAUAUGGUGGAUCGUUGGCAGGUCUUCCAUAUGGUGGAUCAUUGGUAGGUCUUCCAAAUGGUGGAACAACGGCAGGCCUUCCAUAUGGUCGAUCGUUGGUAUGACUUCCAAAUGGUGGAUCAAUGGCAGGCCUUCCAUACAGUGGAUCAAUGGCAGGCCUUCCAUACAGUGGAUCAAUGGCAGGCCUUCCAUACGGUGGAUCAUUGGCAGGCCCUCCAUAUAGUGUCGAUUUUCUGCUAGGCAUAUCAACAGGAGGAUCAUCGAAAGGGGCAAAAGGUGGAGGAUUAUUGGCAGUACUUGUAACUCCCAAAGUCCUAUUUCUAAGCCUCGAAGCAAUCUCUGUGAGGGCUCCUCUUGCA